This is a long non-coding RNA of Neoarius graeffei (lesser salmon catfish), 564 nucleotides long. RefSeq lists it as uncharacterized. Lineage: Eukaryota; Metazoa; Chordata; Actinopteri; Siluriformes; Ariidae. The transcript has 3 exons. The record is from RefSeq and is a predicted model, not a curated record.
ACCACCACACAAAGGUGACCAACAUUCUUCUGUUACACGUUUGCUUUGCUUUCCUGCUCUAUUGAACGUGAUGCUACUGAUGUCAUGUUUGUCAAUGCAUAUUCUUCUCAUUCGCAAUUUUUACCCUAUGUUACCCAAUGUCUGUGUCAUGCAAGUAUGGUUGUAAGCUGAAGCACUGAGUAAUUUUUAUGUUUUUAAUUUUUGUCUUCAACUUCGCUUCACUUUUCAUUACAACAGGUAGGCAUCGUCAAGUAGGCAUCGUAGGUCAAGUCAUCUUGCAUAGUUUGGCACUAACAUCUUUAUGGAAUAACCUGUUGCAAGUUAUGUGACUGGUUUGAUGGGUUCUUGUACCUUUUUCAGGUUGGCAGAUGCCUCCACCCCCAUCAUACGUGUCAACGCCUCAGAUGCGCAUAGGCACCAGUCCAUCAAGGUCUUCCUAUUCCAGUCGACCACCAAGCUGGUUCACAUGGGAAGAAUCCCUAGAGGGAUCAUCAUACCCAUCAGUUCAAGAAAGGACCCAUGGUAAUGAGGAGGGGGCUUCAGUCUUGGACGUCGUAAAGAAAC